RNAcentral lists this ribosomal RNA (1331 nucleotides) under Staphylococcus aureus M0234. Its description in RNAcentral is "bacterial SSU rRNA". It matches the Rfam family "Bacterial small subunit ribosomal RNA", at positions 8 to 1320 of the family's 1533-position model. Lineage: Bacteria; Bacillati; Bacillota; Bacilli; Caryophanales; Staphylococcaceae. The record is from RNAcentral.
AGAGUUUGAUCCUGGCUCAGGAUGAACGCUGGCGGCGUGCCUAAUACAUGCAAGUCGAGCGAACGGACGAGAAGCUUGCUUCUCUGAUGUUAGCGGCGGACGGGUGAGUAACACGUGGAUAACCUACCUAUAAGACUGGGAUAACUUCGGGAAACCGGAGCUAAUACCGGAUAAUAUUUUGAACCGCAUGGUUCAAAAGUGAAAGACGGUCUUGCUGUCACUUAUAGAUGGAUCCGCGCUGCAUUAGCUAGUUGGUAAGGUAACGGCUUACCAAGGCAACGAUGCAUAGCCGACCUGAGAGGGUGAUCGGCCACACUGGAACUGAGACACGGUCCAGACUCCUACGGGAGGCAGCAGUAGGGAAUCUUCCGCAAUGGGCGAAAGCCUGACGGAGCAACGCCGCGUGAGUGAUGAAGGUCUUCGGAUCGUAAAACUCUGUUAUUAGGGAAGAACAUAUGUGUAAGUAACUGUGCACAUCUUGACGGUACCUAAUCAGAAAGCCACGGCUAACUACGUGCCAGCAGCCGCGGUAAUACGUAGGUGGCAAGCGUUAUCCGGAAUUAUUGGGCGUAAAGCGCGCGUAGGCGGUUUUUUAAGUCUGAUGUGAAAGCCCACGGCUCAACCGUGGAGGGUCAUUGGAAACUGGAAAACUUGAGUGCAGAAGAGGAAAGUGGAAUUCCAUGUGUAGCGGUGAAAUGCGCAGAGAUAUGGAGGAACACCAGUGGCGAAGGCGACUUUCUGGUCUGUAACUGACGCUGAUGUGCGAAAGCGUGGGGAUCAAACAGGAUUAGAUACCCUGGUAGUCCACGCCGUAAACGAUGAGUGCUAAGUGUUAGGGGGUUUCCGCCCCUUAGUGCUGCAGCUAACGCAUUAAGCACUCCGCCUGGGGAGUACGACCGCAAGGUUGAAACUCAAAGGAAUUGACGGGGACCCGCACAAGCGGUGGAGCAUGUGGUUUAAUUCGAAGCAACGCGAAGAACCUUACCAAAUCUUGACAUCCUUUGACAACUCUAGAGAUAGAGCCUUCCCCUUCGGGGGACAAAGUGACAGGUGGUGCAUGGUUGUCGUCAGCUCGUGUCGUGAGAUGUUGGGUUAAGUCCCGCAACGAGCGCAACCCUUAAGCUUAGUUGCCAUCAUUAAGUUGGGCACUCUAAGUUGACUGCCGGUGACAAACCGGAGGAAGGUGGGGAUGACGUCAAAUCAUCAUGCCCCUUAUGAUUUGGGCUACACACGUGCUACAAUGGACAAUACAAAGGGCAGCGAAACCGCGAGGUCAAGCAAAUCCCAUAAAGUUGUUCUCAGUUCGGAUUGUAGUCUGCAACUCGACUACA